UACGUAGGGGGCAAGCGUUGUCCGGAAUCAUUGGGCGUAAAGAGCGCGUAGGCGGCCAGAUAAGUCCGCUGUGAAAGUCGGGGGCUCAACCCUCGAAUGCCGGUGGAUACUGUCGGGCUAGAGUGCGGAAGAGGCGAGUGGAAUUCCUGGUGUAGCGGUGAAAUGCGUAGAGAUCGGAAAGAACACCAACGGCGAAAGCACUCUGCUGGGCCGACACUGACACUGAGAGACGAAAGCUAGGGGAGCGAAUGGG
This 253-nucleotide ribosomal RNA is filed under the name uncultured bacterium. RNAcentral's name for it is "partial 16S ribosomal RNA". It matches the Rfam family "Bacterial small subunit ribosomal RNA", at positions 524 to 776 of the family's 1533-position model. The record is from RNAcentral.